UUAUCUUUGUAACCCUCUUUACAUCUUUAUUACUAUCUUUUCAUGGAAAUACAUUUCUAUGAUAACAUUUGAAAUUACAACAUAAUAUCAAUAUUUUUUAUGGACCCAGUGUUUCAUUUAUAUGAUAUCCUAAAGUUUAUUUCCACAGUAACCUAGUGGUGAAAAUUUAGUUCCCUUACCAUAGUUUCUAUUACAGACAAUGGUAUAUAUAACACUCUUGCUCAUAUGUACAAAUAUUUCAGUAAUAAUUUCUUUAUAAGUUUUUGAAAGAGUAUCUUUAAGCCCCAGACACUUAAAAAUUUUAUAUCAAGAUGAUGAAAUCAAAAUACUUUUACUUUUUUUAAUUUUUUUUUAUCUAAAUAGGUUUUUGGGGAACAGGUGGUGUUUGUUUACAUCAAUAAGUUAUUCAGCGGUGAUUUCUGAGAUUUCGGCACACCCUUCACCCAAGCAGUGUACACUGUACCCAAUGUAUAGUCUUUUAUCCCUCAACACUCCCCACUGUUUUUUUGUUUAGUUUGGCUCUGACCUUUACUGUUUCCUUCCUUCUACUCAUUUGGGAUUUGGUUUUUCCUUUUUUAGUUCCUUGAGGUGAACAGUUAGAUUGGUUAUUUGGAAUCUUUUUACUUUUUUGAUGUAGGCAUCUAUUGCUACAAAUUUUUCUCUAAGCACUGCUUUUGCUGUAUCCCAUAGAUUUUGGUAUGUUGUGUUUCCAUUUUCAUUUGUUUCAAAUAACUUUUUGAUAUCCUCCAUAUUUUUUUUCUUGACUCAGUGGUCAUUCUGGAGCAUGCUGUUUGUUUAUUUUCCACAUAUUUGUACAGUUUCCCAGGUUCCUCUUGUUAUUGAUUUCUACUUUUAUUACAUUUUUGUCUGAGAACAUACUUGAUAUGAUUUUGAUUUUUUAAAUUUGUUGAGACUUGUUUUGUGUCCUUCUACUUAACUACUUCCUUCACCAUUAAAUAGAAUACAGUAAUAGCUAUUUCAAAUUAAUGAACAUAAUACACAUUACUUUUGUCAAUCUGUGCAAAUGUAUGUUAUGUUGUGUCUAAAUAUUCAUCAAAAUAUUUUUAUUCCUGAAUACCAAAUUUCAGACAAUAUACAAAAGCACAUAUAUGAAUUGUAAUUAAUCUUCACCUCUCAGUAGCUCAACUCCUACCUCCUGACCCAAAAGGUCUGUUGUCCAUAGAAUGGUGCACACUUUCCAGACAUGUUUCUGUGGAUGAGGUGCACAUGACCAUGUUCACCUACAUAUGCACGUAAUCUUUGCCAAAAAGUGCAACCACAUUAAUCAUCUCCUUUUGCAAGCUGUCUUUUCCACUUAAUAUUCUUCUGAGGAUUUAUAUUAGCAUCUUAUUAGUUCUUAUAGUUUUAGCAUAAUCAACAAGUUCCUUGUUCAUGUCUAUAUCUAUUGGAAUUCUAUGUCAAAAUUAGUUGCCAACUGUUUUGUUACUGAGUUUGCCCUAUAAAUUAUGGAUACUAAUCCAACAUCUGAGAUGUAGUUUGAAAAUGUUUCCCCGUUAUUUUACAGACAUUCUUAGUGUUAUUUUCAUUUAGAAUGUGUUUUCAACUUCAAUAAUAUGAAUAAGAUAUAUAUAGAUUGUAAUUUAAAAAGAAAUACUAGUGAAGAACACCUUAGGGCGUGUGUACCACAAAUGUUCAUAGCAGCUUUAUUUACAAGAGCCCCAAAUGAGAAACAACCAAAAUGUCCAUCGACAAAUGGAUGGAUAAUAAAAUGUUUAGUGUGGUUGUAUACCGCAAUAGUAUUUAGCAAUCAAAAAGAAUGAAGUAUAUCAAUAGAUAAAUGCAAUAAAAUGGAUAAAUAUAAAAAUAAGUGGAGUGAAUGAAAAAAGCCAGGUGUUGAUAAAAAAAAAAAAAAGAAACCACCUCUAUGAUUCCAUUUAAAUAUAUUUCCAGGCAUGUAAAAUAAUGUAUAGUGACAGGCAUGCUGUGUUUACCUGGGGCAAGGCAGUGGGAAGGGUAGGUAGGCCAGGUACUACAGAACUGAAAUUGUGAUGUUUGUAUUAUUGGGAAAUAAUAACGGUAUUCAGAACAAUCUAGUUAUGUUACUGGACAUAGCUGGGUAUCAUUAUAAUAGGGCAAACUUACAUUGUAAUUACUAAUUUUGAAAAUGCCAAAUUCUUGUACCUGACAUUUUGAUAUUUUUAGGUAGCACUUAAUUAAUUUCUGGCCCAUCAGGACAGCAGUGUGAAGAAAGUGUGGUGAGUUCCAUCUCACAGAUGAUCAAGCUCUGGCUCACAGAUACUAAGACCCUCUCCAGAUAACUGGCAGAAUGGCAAUGAGGUUCUAUCUCCUACCCUCCCACACAAUGGAACCAGCAGCUUCUUAUUUGGAGGAUGAUAAUUUUAUACUUCCCCAGUAUUGUUCCCUAAGGGUACUCACUCAACAGCCCUUCACAUUGAGGAAGAGGAUGGUAGAGAUGAAAUCCUGCCCUUUGGGCAUGAGGCAUAGCUGUGGGGUCAUAUGGAUUACCAGGUCUCUGAGGUUAACUGUGGGGUGAAAUAAAGAAAUAUAACCUCAUGUGGAACAAGAAAGAGCAGUGAAGAGAAUAGAAAACAGCAGGCCCUCCAGGGAUCAUUUAUAUUUAGUACUAUCUUUUCGAGAUUUUUUUUUUCAGUCAAUAAAUUUAGACUUUGCACUUCUAACUAGCUUGAUACAGCUCCAGACAAAGCUAAGAGUCUAGGUAAGCAGUCAAUCUGGUUGUGGAUUGUAUCAGAAAAAUGACUUUAGCAACUUAUUUAGAGAGGCUAUGCUCAGGUUCCCGCAUCCAUAAAAAUUGGUAUAAUAACACUCAUUCCCCUUUUAUUUUGCAGACAUCAUAAAAAUACAUAAGAUAAUUAAAGGAACCCAAAUAUAUGGGAAUAAACAUAUAAACCUGAGGUAGGACUGUUAUUAUAAUGAUGAUAAACAAUGAGCAUAUUCAAAUUCUGAGUAAUUAAUACAAACUGUCCAAGACCAUUUUUAAAUAUUGCAUGCAUAUGGCAACUUGGAAAGCAAGAAGGAAUCACAAGCUGGGCUAUUGGGAAAGUUUGAGAGUCCUAAUCCUGCCAGAGGCACUGCUGUUAGCCAUCAACAGCAUCAAGGCCCUCUACCAACAAAAAGAUAAUAAUUCACUGAAGGCUCAGAUGAUUGUUAGCAGUUUUUAGCAAUAAAGUCUUUUUAAAUUAAGGUAAGUACACUAUUUUUAUAGACAUAAUGCUAUUUGCAUAUUUAAUAGACUACAGUAGUGUAAACAUAACUUUUAUAUGCAGUGGGAAACCAUAAAAUUCAUGUGACUUGCUUAAUAUGGUAUUUGCUUUAUUGCAGUGGUCUGCAACUAAACCUGUAAUAUCUCUGCAAUGUCUCUGUGUGUGUGUGUGUAUAUAUAUAUAUACACAGAUAUACAUACAUACAUAUAUGAGUGUAUGUGUAUAUAUGUGUGUAUAUAUAUACACAUAUAUCACACACAUAUACAUAUAAGAAAAUGACAAGGAAUUAAAGAAAAUGGUUCAAUGAGCUUCUUCAGUCUCCCUCAAUCCUUCAGCAAAGUUCUCCUGCAACACAGAAAUGGCCCCAGUGCUUCAUUCACAAUGUUCUACUUCCUGCUCCAUUUCCUGGUGGUCUUUGUGGCAGUUAUGCUGGUUGGAUUAGGUGACAGUCAUCAUUUCUCUGAGAGGGAAGGAAAAGGUGGGCCAGGACAAACAUUUGUUGAAGUCCUACUAGGUGCCAUCUACUCUGUACAGGAUUUCCAAUUUACCCCACAGAACAGUUCUGUGAGGAAGGCAUUGUGAGUUCCUUUUACAGAUGACCAAGAACAGGCUGACAGAGGCUAAGAAAGGAUUCCAGUGUCAUACAUCAAGUAAGGGACAGGAAUGUCAUGUCAAAAACUAGAAAAAAAUCCACAUAGCAGAUAUGCUUAUUGUGAAAUAUCCACUCGAUGUAAUAAUAUCCACCAAUGAUGAUGAAUGAUCUACGACUAUAGAUAAUAAUAAAUGUAAAUCUCACAUACAGUAUGUUGAUUGAAGGAAGGAAGUUAGAAAAGAGAACAUGAUGUAUGAUUCUAGGAAUUUUUCUUCAAAUUUCCCAUUACAGUUUGGGCUACAUAAAAAAUUCAACACCCUAUUUUUUCUUAUUUGAAGGUACUUAGUGUUCCCGUAUAUUAUCUGCAGGUUAACCUCAGAGAAGCACAUAUCCUCUGAGCCCUUGAAAAGUGAAGCACUACAGCUAUGAACACGGCUAAUGCUGCUGAUAUGGUUUGGCUGUGUCCCCAUCUAAAUCUCAACUUGAAUUGUAUCUCCCGAAGAGAUGGAGAGGUUUGUCAGAGUUUAUCAAUUAUAGAACAGCCUCCUCUAGAGGAAUAUAAAGCACUGCCAAAUCCUCUGAGAUUUAGGCUGUUGCUGGUAGUAGUACUCUGGCAAAUAACUUUAUUCAGUUAUUUAAGUUUAUGGCUAAGCAUAGUAGGGUAUCUAAUCCCAGUUUGGGUCUUAGCUAUUUUAAAUUCAGAACAUAAUAAAGUCACUUUCAUAGUUUAUUUUCAUUUUAGCUAUUGCCUUUUAUGGCUUACAGUUUAGCUUUAGUUAGACAUAAUCAUAAACGUGUUGGGAGAAAAUGCUUUAAUUAGGAGUUAGGCUGAAAUAAUAUUUUGGAUAAGUUUAUAAUUGAAUUUAAUAAUAUGUGGGUACAUAUUAGAGCCUUAGGUAAUAAUCAGCAGAUAUAAGAUUUUUUGUUUGGGGGGUUUGGCAAGAAUAAAAGAUUGAUAUUUACAUAAAUACUGUAACAGCUUAAAGUAGGGGAUUAGAGGGAGUUUGCAGAGUUAAUCAUGUAUGAUGGGAAUAAUUAUGCAUCUGUGACUGUAUCUUGUUUUUAUUAUGCCCAUUGAGCAUGGAUUAAUUAACACCUUAUCGUUUUUGUUUGGGAAAAUAACAUUCAAUUUAAGUUCAACUACAGUCAAGUUUUGUCAAGGCCUUGACAGCCAUGUUGGAUCACAUCAUCCCCCCAAAUUAAAAAAUACCAAAUGCAUGACACCACAGUUAUGAGUGAUCAUGGGUUGAUUAGUCAUUAGUCCAUUGAGAUGUCUUAUUUAAGAGGAAAAAGAGGAUGGAUAUAAGCUCAUGGCCCUGAAAUAAGAACCAGAUG
Molecule: long non-coding RNA, 5130 nt
Filed under: Homo sapiens (human)
Lineage: Eukaryota; Metazoa; Chordata; Mammalia; Primates; Hominidae
Description: non-protein coding lnc-BEX1-3:1
Source: RNAcentral